RNAcentral lists this unclassified non-coding RNA (249 nucleotides) under Shigella boydii CDC 3083-94. The record is from RNAcentral. Lineage: Bacteria; Pseudomonadati; Pseudomonadota; Gammaproteobacteria; Enterobacterales; Enterobacteriaceae.
GGGGAGAUAUUUGCAACUAAUUGAUUUCAAAUGCAAUUAAAAAAAGACCGAAUACGAUUCCUGUAUUCGGUCCAGGGAAAUGGCUCUUGGGAGAGAGCCGUGCGCUAAAAGUUGGCAUUAAUGCAGGCUUAGUUGCCUUGCCCUUUAAGAAUAGAUGACGACGCCAGGUUUUCCAGUUUGCGUGCAAAAUGGUCAAUAAAAAGCGUGGUGGUCAUCAGCUGAAAUGUUAAAAACCGCCCGUUCUGGUGA